GGGCUAUUAGCGCAGUCAGGUAGCGCAGCAGGCUCUUAACUUGUCGGUCGGGGGUUCGAUUCACGGAAAAUCUC
RNAcentral lists this transfer RNA (74 nucleotides) under Promethearchaeota archaeon. RNAcentral describes it as "Candidatus Lokiarchaeota archaeon tRNA-Lys". The record is from RNAcentral. Lineage: Archaea; Promethearchaeati; Promethearchaeota.